UAGGGAAUCUUCCGCAAUGGGCGAAAGCCUGACGGAGCAACGCCGCGUGAGUGAUGAAGGUCUUCGGAUCGUAAAACUCUGUUAUUAGGGAAGAACAUAUGUGUAAGUAACUGUGCACAUCUUGACGGUACCUAAUCAGAAAGCCACGGCUAACUACGUGCCAGCAGCCGCGGUAAUACGUAGGUGGCAAGCGUUAUCCGGAAUUAUUGGGCGUAAAGCGCGCGUAGGCGGUUUUUUAAGUCUGGUGUGAAAGCCCACGGCUCAACCGUGGAGGGUCAUUGGAAACUGGAAAACUUGAGUGCAGAAGAGGAAAGUGGAAUUCCAUGUGUAGCGGUGAAAUGCGCAGAGAUAUGGAGGAACACCAGUGGCGAAGGCGACUUUCUGGUCUGUAACUGACGCUGAUGUGCGAAAGCGUGGGGAUCAAACAGGAUUAGAUACCCUGGUAGUCCACGCCGUAAACGAUGAGUGCUAAGUGUUAGGGGGUUUCCGCCCCUUAGUGCUGCAGCUAACGCAUUAAGCACUCCGCCUGGGGAGUACGACCGCAAGGUUG
This 550-nucleotide ribosomal RNA is filed under the name uncultured bacterium. RNAcentral's name for it is "bacterial SSU rRNA". It matches the Rfam family "Bacterial small subunit ribosomal RNA", at positions 355 to 896 of the family's 1533-position model. The record is from RNAcentral.